RNAcentral lists this ribosomal RNA (450 nucleotides) under uncultured Glomeromycotina. RNAcentral's name for it is "SSU rRNA". It matches the Rfam family "Eukaryotic small subunit ribosomal RNA", at positions 569 to 1026 of the family's 1831-position model. Lineage: Eukaryota; Fungi; Glomeromycota. The record is from RNAcentral.
AGCAGCCGCGGUAAUUCCAGCUCCAAUAGCGUAUAUUAAAGUUGUUGCAGUUAAAAGCUCGUAGUUGAAUUUCGGGACCAAUUUGUUGGUCGUGCCUCGGUACGUACUGGUAUUAUUGGUUUCUCCCUUCUGAAGAACCUCGAUGCCAUUAAUUUGGUGUCGUGGGGAAUCAGGACUGUUACUUUGAAAAAAUUAGAGUGUUUAAAGCAAGCAUACGCUUGAGUACAUUAGCAUGGAAUAAUGAAAUAGGACGUUUGAUUCUAUUUUGUUGGUUUCUAGGAUCGACGUAAUGAUUAAUAGGGAUAGUUGGGGGCAUUAGUAUUCAAUUGUCAGAGGUGAAAUUCUUGGAUUUAUUGAAGACUAACUACUGCGAAAGCAUUUGCCAAGGAUGUUUUCAUUAAUCAAGAACGAAAGUUAGGGAUCGAAGACGAUCAGAUACCGUCGUAGUCU